UACGGAGGAUCCAAGCGUUAUCCGGAAUUACUGGGCGUAAAGAGUUGCGUAGGCGGCAGAGUAAGUAGAUAGUGAAAUCGUGUGGCUCAACCAUACUUCCAUUAUCUAAACUGCUCAGCUAGAGCAUGGAAGAGGUAGCUGGAAUUUCUAGUGUAGGAGUGAAAUCCGUAGAUAUUAGAAGGAACACCGAUGGCGUAGGCAGGCUACUGGUCCAUUGCUGACGCUCAGGCACGAAAGCGUGGGGAGCGACCGGG
Molecule: ribosomal RNA, 254 nt
Filed under: uncultured bacterium
Lineage: Bacteria
Description: partial 16S ribosomal RNA
Rfam family: Bacterial small subunit ribosomal RNA
Source: RNAcentral